Molecule: ribosomal RNA, 447 nt
Filed under: uncultured bacterium
Lineage: Bacteria
Description: bacterial SSU rRNA
Rfam family: Bacterial small subunit ribosomal RNA
Source: RNAcentral
UCGGGAAUUUUGUGCAAUGGGCGAAAGCCUGACACAGCAACGCCGCGUGAAGGAUGAAGUCCCUCGGGAUGUAAACUUCGUAAGAAUAGGAAGAAUAAAUGACGGUACUAUUUGUAAGGUCCGGCUAACUACGUGCCAGCAGCCGCGGUAAUACGUAGGGACCAAGCGUUGUUCGGAUUUACUGGGCGUAAAGGGUGCGUAGGCGGCAUAUCAAGUCACUUGUGAAAUCUCCGGGCUUAACUCGGAACUGCCAAGUGAUACUGAUGUGCUAGAGUGCGGCAGAGGGAGCUGGAAUUCCUGGUGUAGCAGUGAAAUGCGUAGAGAUCAGGAGGAACACCCAUGGCGAAGGCAGCACUCUGGGCUGGUAUUGACGCUGAGGAGCGAAAGCAUGGGUAGCGAACAGGAUUAGAUACCCCCGUAGUCCCUGAGCGGGCUGGCAAGGCGCAU